Myodes glareolus (Bank vole) is the source of this 669-nucleotide long non-coding RNA. RefSeq lists it as uncharacterized. The record is from RefSeq and is a predicted model, not a curated record. NCBI's taxonomy places the organism in Eukaryota, Metazoa, Chordata, Mammalia, Rodentia, Cricetidae.
CACCCUCUAGUGUCACUUCAGCUUGAAUCAACCAUUGUUGAUGUGAGGACUUCAACCAUUGCUCAGACUGACUUCCCCCUUUCUCUCCGGCUCUCAUGGGAAGGGCGGACAUCCCAACUGUAUUAAUGCUAUGCUUGAACAGCUUUUCUAAAAUAUACAACAGUGUGGAUUAUUCUGACAAAUAGACGAGAAAACACCAGAGAACACCGUUGUCCUCUGUGUCAGUUUCUCCCAAGUCUGUGCCUGUCAUCUUCUGGUCCGGAGACAUAGCCUGCCCUGUGCCCAGUGUCUGGCCACCAAGUCCUUGGGAGCAUGCCUGAACUUUCCAGUUCCUGUUUGUGAUCCCACGGAGCUUGCCUCCAGCACAGCCCUGAAUGGCGCCAUUGUGACAGCCUGCAUGAUGUUUAAGAUGCUGAGAGGGGCCGCAUUACCAAAGAAUGUCUUUCAGGAGAGGAAAACUAAAUGACCGGUAGGGUCUCUGAUGGUUUCAGAGCUCAUCCCUGUGUCUAGGCUGACUGACCUGUGACCUUCAAGCUUCACCUACCUCUACCUGCCCAGCACUAGGUUUACAGAUGCACAUAGCCAAGCCCUGAAUUUUACAUGGAUUCCACAGGUCUACCCUUGUGUCCUCAAGCUUCCACAGCAAGAAUUGUACUGACAUAGACAUCU